GACGAACGCUGGCGGCGUGCUUAACACAUGCAAGUCGAACGGAAAGGCCCUGCUUUUGUGGGGCGCUCGAGUGGCGAACGGGUGAGUAACACGUGAGUAACCUGCCCUUGACUUUGGGAUAACUUCAGGAAACUGGGGCUAAUACCGGAUAGGAGCUCCUGCUGCAUGGUGGGGGUUGGAAAGUUUCGGCGGUUGGGGAUGGACUCGCGGCUUAUCAGCUUGUUGGUGGGGUAGUGGCUUACCAAGGCUUUGACGGGUAGCCGGCCUGAGGGGGUGACCGGCAACAUUGGGACUGGGAUACGGCCCAGACUCCUACGGGAGGCAGCGGUGGGGAAUAUUGCACAAUGGGCGGAAGCCUGAUGCAGCAACGCCGCGUGCGGGAUGACGGCCUUCGGGUUGUAAACCGCUUUCGCCUGUGACGAAGCGUGAGUGACGGUAAUGGGUAAAGAAGCACCGGCUAACUACGUG
This 468-nucleotide ribosomal RNA is filed under the name uncultured bacterium. RNAcentral's name for it is "partial 16S ribosomal RNA". It matches the Rfam family "Bacterial small subunit ribosomal RNA", at positions 28 to 507 of the family's 1533-position model. The record is from RNAcentral.